RNAcentral lists this ribosomal RNA (253 nucleotides) under uncultured bacterium. RNAcentral's name for it is "partial 16S ribosomal RNA". It matches the Rfam family "Bacterial small subunit ribosomal RNA", at positions 524 to 776 of the family's 1533-position model. The record is from RNAcentral.
UACGUAGGGAGCAAGCGUUGUCCGGAAUCAUUGGGCGUAAAGCGCGCGUAGGUGGCCCCAUAAGUCCGCUGUGAAAGUCAAAGGCUCAACCUUUGAAAGCCGGUGGAUACUGUGGGACUAGAGUACGGAAGAGGCGAGUGGAAUUCCUGGUGUAGCGGUGAAAUGCGCAGAUAUCGGGAAGAACACCCGUGGCGAAGGCGGCACUCUGGGACGGUACUGACGCUGAGACGCGAAAGCGUGGGGAGCGAACAGG